Molecule: ribosomal RNA, 253 nt
Filed under: uncultured bacterium
Lineage: Bacteria
Description: partial 16S ribosomal RNA
Rfam family: Bacterial small subunit ribosomal RNA
Source: RNAcentral
UACGUAGGUGGCAAGCGUUACUCGGAAUCACUAGGCGUAAAGCGCAGGUAGGAGGUUUAGUAAGUCUGUUGUGAAAGCUCCCGGCUUAACUGGGAGAGGUCAACGGAAACUGCUAGGCUAGAGUUCGGUAGAGGAAGGUGGAAUUCCCGGUGUAGCGGUGAAAUGCGUAGAUAUCGGGAGGAAUACCUAUGGCGAAAGCAGCCUUCUGGACCGUAACUGACUCUGAUCUGCGAAAGCUAGGGGAGCAAACAGG